CAGUCGCCACGGGAAUACGUAGGGUGCAAGCGUUAAUCGGAAUUACUGGGCGUAAAGCGUGCGCAGGCGGUUAUAUAAGACAGAUGUGAAAUCCCCGGGCUCAACCUGGGAACUGCAUUUGUGACUGUAUAGCUAGAGUACGGCAGAGGGGGAUGGAAUUCCGCGUGUAGCAGUGAAAUGCGUAGAUAUGCGGAGGAACACCGAUGGCGAAGGCAAUCCCCUGGGCCUGUACUGACGCUCAUGCACGAAAGCGUGGGGAGCAAACAGGAUUAGAUACCCCGGUAGUCCCUGUCUCUUAUAC
RNAcentral lists this ribosomal RNA (301 nucleotides) under uncultured bacterium. RNAcentral's name for it is "partial 16S ribosomal RNA". It matches the Rfam family "Bacterial small subunit ribosomal RNA", at positions 509 to 807 of the family's 1533-position model. The record is from RNAcentral.